RNAcentral lists this ribosomal RNA (484 nucleotides) under uncultured bacterium. Its description in RNAcentral is "partial 16S ribosomal RNA". It matches the Rfam family "Bacterial small subunit ribosomal RNA", at positions 30 to 507 of the family's 1533-position model. The record is from RNAcentral.
AUUGAACGCUGGCGGCAGGCCUAACACAUGCAAGUCGAGCGGAUGAAGGGAGCUUGCUCCUGGAUUCAGCUGCGGACGGGUGAGUAAUGCCUAGGAAUCUGCCUGGUAGUUGGGGAUAACGUCCGGAAACGGGCGCUAAUACCGCAUACGUCCUGAUGGAGAAAGUGGGGGAUCUUCGGACCUCACGCUAUCAGAUGAGCCUAGGUCGGAUUAGCUAGUUGGUGGGGUAAAGGCCUACCAAGGCGACGAUCCGUAACUGGUCUGAGAGGAUGAUCAGUCACACUGGAACUGAGACACGGUCCAGACUCCUACGGGAGGCAGCAGUGGGGAAUAUUGGACAAUGGGCGAAAGCCUGAUCCAGCCAUGCCGCGUGUGUGAAGAAGGUCUUCGGAUUGUAAAGCACUUUAAGUUGGGAGGAAGGGCAGUAAGUUAAUACCUUGCUGUUUUGACGUUACCAACAGAAUAAGCACCGGCUAACUUCGUG